RNAcentral lists this ribosomal RNA (440 nucleotides) under uncultured bacterium. Its description in RNAcentral is "partial 16S ribosomal RNA". It matches the Rfam family "Bacterial small subunit ribosomal RNA", at positions 338 to 795 of the family's 1533-position model. The record is from RNAcentral.
CCUACGGGAGACAGCAGUGGGGAAUAUUGCACAAUGGGGGAAACCCUGAUGCAGCGACGCCGCGUGAGUGAAGAAGUAAUUCGUUAUGUAAAGCUCUAUCAGCAGGGACGAAAAUGACGGUACCUGAUUAAGAAGCCCCGGCUAACUACGUGCCAGCAGCCGCGGUCAUACGUAGGGGGCAAGCGUUAUCCGGAUUUACUGGGUGUAAAGGGAGCGUAGACGGCAGUGCAAGUCUGGAGUGAAAGGCGGGGGCUCAACCCCCGGACUGCUCUGGAAACUGUACGGCGGGAGUGCAGGAGAGGUAAGUGGAAUUCCUAGUGUAGCGGUGAAAUGCGUAGAUAUUAGGAGGAACACCAGUGGCGAAGGCGGCUUACUGGACUGUAACUGACGUUGAGGCUCGAAAGCGUGGGGAGCAAACAGGAUUAGAUACCCCGGUAGUC